UACAGAGGGGGCUAGCGUUGUUCGGAAUUACUGGGCGUAAAGGGCGCGUAGGUGGCCUGUUAAGUCGAACGUGAAAUCCCCGGGCUCAACCUGGGAACUGCAUCCGAAACUGCCUUGCUCGAGUAUGGGAGAGGGAAGUGGAAUUUCCGGUGUAGCGGUGAAAUGCGUAGAUAUCUGGAGGAAUACCGGUGGCGAAGGCGGCAUCCUGGACCAACAUUGACGCUGAGGAGCGAAAGCUAGGGGAGCAAACGGG
RNAcentral lists this ribosomal RNA (253 nucleotides) under uncultured bacterium. Its description in RNAcentral is "partial 16S ribosomal RNA". It matches the Rfam family "Bacterial small subunit ribosomal RNA", at positions 524 to 776 of the family's 1533-position model. The record is from RNAcentral.